RNAcentral lists this ribosomal RNA (442 nucleotides) under uncultured bacterium. RNAcentral describes it as "partial 16S ribosomal RNA". It matches the Rfam family "Bacterial small subunit ribosomal RNA", at positions 338 to 795 of the family's 1533-position model. The record is from RNAcentral.
CCUACGGGAGGCAGCAGUAGGGAAUCUUUCACAAUGGGCGAAAGCCUGAUGGAGCAACGCCGCGUGCAGGAUGAAGGCCUUCGGGUUGUAAACUGCUUUUAUAAGCGAGAAAUAUGAUGGUAACUUAUGAAUAAGGAUCGGCUAACUACGUGCCAGCAGCCGCUGUCAUACGUAGGAUCCGAGCAUUAUCCGGAGUGACUGGGUGUAAAGAGUUGCGUAGGUGGCAUAAUAAGUAGCUAGUGAAAUCUGGUGGCUCAACCAUUCAGACUAUUAGCUAAACUGUUAAGCUCGAGACCGUGAGGGGUAACUGGAAUUUCUAGUGUAGGAGUGAAAUCCGUAGAUAUUAGAAAGAACACCAAUAGCGUAGGCAGGUUGCUGGGACGGUUCUGACACUAAGGCACGAAAGCGUAGGGAGCAAACGGGAUUAGAUACCCUGGUAGUC